RNAcentral lists this ribosomal RNA (266 nucleotides) under Paenibacillus sp. ISO410_OTU5422. RNAcentral's name for it is "partial 16S ribosomal RNA". It matches the Rfam family "Bacterial small subunit ribosomal RNA", at positions 29 to 289 of the family's 1533-position model. The record is from RNAcentral. Lineage: Bacteria; Bacillati; Bacillota; Bacilli; Caryophanales; Paenibacillaceae.
ACGAACGCUGGCGGCGUGCCUAAUACAUGCAAGUCGAGCGGAGUUAUUCCUUCGGGGAUAGCUUAGCGGCGGACGGGUGAGUAACACGUAGGCAACCUGCCUGCAAGAUCGGGAUAACAUUCGGAAACGGAUGCUAAUACCGGAUACACAGUUUCUCUGCAUGGAGAGAUUGGGAAAGACGGCGUAAGCUGUCACUUGCAGAUGGGCCUGCGGUGCAUUAGCUAGUUGGUGGGGUAACGGCUCACCAAGGCGACGAUGCAUAGCCG